AUCCAGCAUGGCGCCCAACACAGGGCUUGAACUCUCGAUCCUGAGAUCAAGAUCUGAGGAAUAAGAAAAUCAGCUUAAACAGCAAAGAGAAGACUGGACCUGGGAGAUGGAUCAGUAGGAAAUAUGAAAAUGAAGCAAUUAGAGAAAAAAGGAUGGAAAAUGCAGAAAAGAGCGUAAGAAUCAUCUGACACAAAAGGUCUUAGGAGAAGAAAGAGAAUGGGGCAGAGGUAGUGUUUAAAGAGACAGUGUCCAAGAGUUUCCCCAAAACUAGUGAAAAACAUCAAGUGGGGGGAAACAAUAACAAUUUUUUUAAAAAAUUUAGAAUAAAUUUUAAAAAGAUGAGAAAUUUAUACCCAUAAAGACCCGUAAUCACAUCAAAUGUAAAAUGGUCUCAAUGUUGUAAUCAAAAGACAAAAAACGUCAGUCUGGUUAAAAAACAAAUCCCAAAUAUGUGCUGCUUCCACAAAACAAACCUUAAGUAAUAAGGACACAGAAAGGUUGAGGUCAGCUAGAGAAGCAAACUCCCUGCUGAGCAGGGAGCCCGAUGUGGGACUUGAUCCUGGGACUCCACAAUCAUGCCCUGAGAUGGAGGCAGUCACUUAACCAACUGAGCCACCCAGGCGCCCAGGACACAGAAAGGUUGAAAAUAGAAAGAUGGAAAACAUAAACUGUAUGAAGAUUAACCAAAAGAAAGCCAAGGUAGCUGAACUACUAACAGAAAAAAAAAAGGGGGGGGGGGCGUUAGGGCAACUAGUACUACUUGAGAGAAAAAAGGAACAUUUUUUAUGAUGACAAAAGGAUAAAUCUAAGAGGAAGAUACAAUAAUCCUAACCUGUAUGCACCUAAUAAAUUAGUGCCUAAAAACAUAAAGCAAAAACUCAGGAACGGGAAAUCUACAAUCAACAAUAGGAAAAAGCAGAACCUUCCCUCCACCACCACCCAACAUUAGGAGAUAGACAAGAUUUGACCAACAUGAUUAACUAACGUGACCUGACAAUGUAACACUGUACUCAACAUGUGAUAAAUACACAUUUUUCUCAAGUACACACAGAACUUUAACCAAAAGAGACCAUGUAAGUGGGUAUAAAGCAACGGUAGACAAAUUUCAAAGGACUGAAAUCAUACAGUGUAUGUUCUCUGACCAUAGAAAGAAAAAGAGUAUGUUGAUUAUGCUAUAUUUUGAGAAG
Lutra lutra (Eurasian river otter) is the source of this 1187-nucleotide long non-coding RNA. RefSeq lists it as uncharacterized. The record is from RefSeq and is a predicted model, not a curated record. The transcript has 2 exons. Lineage: Eukaryota; Metazoa; Chordata; Mammalia; Carnivora; Mustelidae.